UGCUGAGAAAUAUAAGAACGCCAGGUGCGUUCAGUCACUGAAAGGGGGAGCUUGUGGAGAGGUCUUUGGGAAACAGUAGACCCUGUGUAGCUACCUCUUCAGUGAGUCCAAGUCUCUGGUGGCGGGCCUGGGGCCAUCGUGGUCAGCAGGCCCAGAAUUGGGGAAGAGGUGGGGUAGAGGAAAGCAAGGACAAGCUGGAGCCCGCCAAGCACCUCUGCAUCUGUCUGUCACCAAAUUUCCCCUUCAGGGAACAAUGGCUGUUCCUUCACUUCCACCUCCCCAUUCUCAUCCCAGUUCCUCUGUGGGCCAGAUCCCGCUACGUAAGGAGGGAGCUUCUGACAAAUACAGGUCCUGCUUAACCAAGUGGAAAAUAAAACUUGGACCAACACAAGCAACAAGACAGAAGCAGCUCAGGCCCUGCCACCAAGGAGCAACCAUACCAGACCCAGACUCUGCUCACACGUGGACACUUGGGCAAGAGAAAAAUAAUUUCUACCUUGCUUAAGCUACUGCAAGUCUGGAUCUCGGUUUCUUCAGCUGAAUGCAUAUCCCAACUAAAACACCAUCCACAUUUCCACUUGUAAUUGUCAAGUUAAAUUUCCAGUCCCUCCAGGUUAUAGAUCUGCUACUUGCCUUUCAUUCUCUGGCAGCUUCUGGGCUUCCCAUUCUGGUGGGCAGUCCCACACCCACAGCCAGUGAUAGACCAAGCCUUGCUACUGCUCACUCUCAAGGGCUGCCGCAGCCCUCACCUAGGUCUUUCUUCCAGGCAGAAGAGAAACUGCCGCCGCUUGUGCCUUCCCUCAGGGUGCUGUCCUCAUCUGCGUGGUCAAGGCUGGGUUCCUGCCAUGUCUGCGUUCACAUCUCCGCAGGAAUGAGGAAAGGAAGCAGAGGAAGGACGCUUUCCUUUGAAAUAAGGAUGCCGAAGCCCAAGGAGGGGCAGUGAAGUGGAGGCAGCCUUCCAAGAACCCCCUCAAAGGAUCCCCUCAUGUCAUAAAACUAGGAAAGACUUUCCUCAGCCAGACACGGUGGCUCACGUCUAUAAUUCCAGCAUUUUGGGAGACCAAGACAAGAGGAUUGCUUGAGCUCAGGAGUUCAAGACCAGCUUGAGCAACAUAGUGAGACCCUGUUUCUACAGAAGAUUUCUUCUUUUCUCUUCUUUUUUUAAAAAAAAUUUCCAACACUUAUUUUAAGUUCGGGGAUACAUGUGCAGCAUGUGCAGAUUUGUUACGUAGGCAAACGUGUGCCACGGUGGUUUGCUGCACAGAUCAUCCCAUCACUCAUGUAUUAAGUCCAACAUCCAUUAGCUAUUCUUCCCGAUGCUCUCCCUUCUCCCACCUCCUACUCUCCGACAGGUCCUAGUGUGUGCUGUUGCCCCCCCGCCACAUGUCUAUGUGUUAACAUAAUUCAGUUCCCACCUGUAAGUGAGAACAUGCAGUAUUUGGUUUGCUGUUUCUGCAUUAGUUUGCUGAGGAUAAUGGCUUUGAGUUCCAUCCAUGUCCUUGCAAAAGACAUGAUUUUAUUUUUUAUUUAUUUAUUUAUUUUUGAGAUGGAAUCUCACUUUUCGCCUAGGCUGGAGUGCAGUGGCACGAUCUCAGCUCACUGCAACCUCUGCCUCCCAGGUUGAAGUGAUUCUCCUGCCUCAGCCUCCCGAGUAGCUGGGAUUAUAGGAGCCUGCCAUUACACCCAGCUAAUUUCCCAUAUUUUUGGUAGUGACAGGGUUUCACCAUAUUGGCUAGGCUGGUCUCAAACUCCUGACCUUGUGAUUUGCCUGCCUUGGCCUCCUGAAGUGCUGGGAGUACAGGCAUGAGCCACCAUGCCCAGCUGAUCUCAUUCUUUUUUAUGGCUGCAUAGUAUUCCAUGGCUCUACAAAAUUAUUUCUUAAAAAUUAGCUGGGUGUGGUGGCACACACCUGUAGUUCUAGUUACUUGGGAGGCUGAGGCAGCAG
This is a long non-coding RNA of Rhinopithecus bieti (black snub-nosed monkey), 1945 nucleotides long. The record is from Ensembl. Lineage: Eukaryota; Metazoa; Chordata; Mammalia; Primates; Cercopithecidae.